CAUGGGACCCACACGAUAGGAGGGAGGGGAGUCACCAUCCUUUUUUCUUUCUUGCUCCCAAAGGCAUACACAAAGACAGAAUUUACACAUACACAUCCAUUCAUAUAUACUACACACAACACUCACCUUUCACGCACACAGUCCUCACCAAUAUAUUCUCAUUCAUCCUCAUGAAAAAAAACCUAGUUUAUAUGCACACACAGACGAAAAGGGACGGAUACACCUUCUUUUUCUUCUUCUGGGUUCACCAUUUUUUUUCCAUUUAAUAAUAAACAGAUUCCACAUAGUAGAUGCUCUCCAUUCUUUUUUCUAUUUUUAGAGAAAACACGCACACACAGUGAGUUUGAAAUAGAGAGAGAGGAGAGAGGGAAUUAAAGAGAGACAUCAAGUGACGAGAGAGAGAUCGAGAUCGAGAUCGAGAGAGAUAGAUCAGUUGAGAGAGACAGCGAGAGAGGGAAGUUGAGUAAACAUCAGUGAUCCAUCACUGAUGCCAUCACUGUUCCAGCAUCGGGACUCUCAUCGAAGCUCCGGAUAGGCCGCUAUAACCCAGCGGACUGGUUUGGUCAAGCCAUCGCUGGAAAACGAUAACAGGCGAACCCUUUUCCUUACCUCAAGUCCAUUUUUUUAACCUUCAUCUCAGAUUCCCCCGAAUACAAAUCUGGUUCUCUUUGUUCCGCAAUUUCCAGUUCGAGUUUGGUUGGUUCACCAAAUUUCAGUCCAUAUUUCUCUCUGUUUUUGUGAUUUGUGAUACCGAGUUUGGAUUUGUUAGCUAUAGAGGUUCAAAUCGAGGCCUUUUGGAUGCGAUUCUAUCUCCGAUAUAUUGAAAUCGUCGAUUGAGAUUUGGGCAACACUCAGCAAGCUAAACUUGAAUCCAUCAACAAAAUAGACUUCAUCAAUUGCCUCAUUCAAACUUUUCUCAAUUUUUCAAACUCCAACAAUGUACCCUUGGUUACCAUCACCAAAAAAAGACAUUGCCACCUUCAGGGGCCUUGAGCGAGAGGAAGUUUUCAAUUCUCCCAGUCACAUGCUUUGAACAACCACUAUCCAAGAUCAAGUGGUGGCUGGUUUUUCUAGCUUUGCCCUGCAAUUACAAUCAGUGUCAGUUUUGGGAAACCAUUUUAGCUUGAGCUCCCAGUGAGGUAACAAUGGAAAUAUUAAGCAGGUCAAGGCAUUGGUAACCCUCUUCUUAGACGAGCGAAGCUCCCUACUAGAAAGGGCAUGAUGGUUACCUCCUCUGCAGCUGAACAAGUUGGCGAAGAGAUGAAGGCUGUCAAAGAGAAUCUUAUCACCAAUCAACCAUCUCCUUAUAGCUACACAAAUUAUAUGGCAUGUUUAAGAUUAGAAAUUUCAAAAAAUUUAUAAUCACAUAAAUAUUAUGGCAUACUUACAACCACAAAAAUAGACUAAUAUGCUUAUAAUUUUAUUAAUUAUGCUUAUUUUCCCAUCAUCUAGGAACAUAUCUGGUGUGCUACAUUAACUAGAUGGGCAGAAAGGAUAGCAAAGGAAAAUCAAUAGCUACUCGUUCAGAAAGGAAAGUAGAUUAAUCGAGUAUAAAUCAUUUCAAAAAAGGUAUUAGAGGACUGCAUAAAAAAAUGUCCCUCAUCGACUGACACAACAAAAGACCAGGAGUUGGAGGGCGUUAAAUGCAUUAAAAGGAUCUUCGAGGAAACAUACUAACCGGACGGGGUCAAUGGGCGAUCAAGAAGGCCCAUUGCCUAGGUGGGUGACUUCCAUUGCACUUUGGAGGGGCGCCUGCCUAAGGCCAACCCAAGUGGUUGAGCCUACGUUUAAUUUUUGGCAGUGGGGGCCUGUGUUAGCACGGCCCCUAUCCAGUUCUUAAACAAAUUUUUUUAUGUUCCAAAAAUCUUUCUCGGCAGAACAUUUUUUUCACUAAUUCUUUCAAUUGUAUGCACUUAAGAGUUAACACAAAUCUGCUUUGGAAAGUUUAUUUGGUCGA
Long non-coding RNA from Capsicum annuum, 1957 nucleotides. RefSeq lists it as uncharacterized. The record is from RefSeq and is a predicted model, not a curated record. The transcript is spliced from 3 exons. NCBI's taxonomy places the organism in Eukaryota, Viridiplantae, Streptophyta, Magnoliopsida, Solanales, Solanaceae.